This is a long non-coding RNA of Rhineura floridana, 3665 nucleotides long. RefSeq lists it as uncharacterized. The transcript is spliced from 3 exons. The record is from RefSeq and is a predicted model, not a curated record. Lineage: Eukaryota; Metazoa; Chordata; Lepidosauria; Squamata; Rhineuridae.
UGACUGCGCAUGCGUGCGGCUCUCGAAAGCGACAGCUGGUGCAAGGAACAGAAUCCUGGAGCUGCUGGAGAGGAUUCUUCCGCUUUUAAAUGGCCAGCGUGAAUGUGGAACGCCCCCCUCUGAGAUGCCCUUAAUGGCUAAGAAGAAGGGCCCGUGGGAGAUCCGGGUCGCGCGUUGCUAUGAUCGCUGUGUGCACGGCUGGAGAUGAGCAGUGUUGUAGCAAUGAAGCAGCUGGAUACAACGGAGUUGAAUGUUUGUGCUUCCUCCUCCCCCCCAUCUCUUUCGGGUGGCCAUGUGUGCUACUUCACAAAGAUCAUCCCUUUACUUGAAUACUCUGAGAGGACAGUCCCCUAUAUGGAAAGGCUGUCCAGUCCAAUCCAAAUCUGAUUUAAAGAUAAAGAACCCCAAAAAAAGGAAAGGUGGAGCCUUGAAGUUGCUGAAGAAGGGAAUUGGAGUCCAACAAAAUCUGGAAUGCCACUGGUUCCCUAUCCCUGAAAUAUGUGUUUUCCUAUUUGCAGCUCUAGACGGUGCAGCCUACGAACAGUUAAAACAACCAAUCCAUUCCUUGUGUAGAAGUGCACUCAGCACAGUAGACCCAUCUCCAGAAACCUGCUUCUGCAUAGGAUGAAGUUACUGAACCAGGGACUGGAGAUGGCAAUGCACUGGAUGGAGACUGAAAAACUGAAACUGAAUCCUGACAAGACAGGACAGCUAAUCUGGGAACUGAGCUUCAACCUCUGCUGUAUGAAAUAGUAUUCUCCUUGAAAUCACAGGCAUAUAUUUUGGGAGCGCUUCUAGACCUGGCCUUGAGCAGGUAGACUGAGAUGCUCUUGACCAACUUAGAGUGGCUCAUCAAAGCUAUUCCAGUUCCUGGAAAAGGUAGAUCUGGCCAUGGAGACACAUGCCUGAGUUACAACAGACGUGAACAACUACAGUGCACUCUAUAUGGGGCUGCUAUUGAAGAGUGUCCAGAAACUCCACCCUGUUCAAAAUGUGGCAGCUUAAGUUAUUGACUGGAUCCAGAUAUUGGGGGCAUGCUACAGCAUUGGCUCUCAAGUUUCUUUUUGGGCCCAAUUCAAUGUGCUGGUUAUGAACUUUUAAACCCUGCAUGGAUUGGAACCUGGAUACCUGAAGGAUCACCCUGUCCAAUAUGAACUUGCCCUAGCACAGCCUUUCCCAACUAGUGGGCCACUAGAUGUUGUUGAACCACAAUUCCCAUCUUUCCUGACCAUUGUCAGUGCUGGCUGAGGCUGAUGGGAGUUGUGGUCCAACAACAUCUGGUGGCCCACUAGUUGGGAAAGGCUGCCCUGGCACUAGGAUCAUCAACAGCUGCCCUCCAGUGUGUCCCAGGGAUCAGGACCUGGGGCAGGGUUAGCAUCGGUAGUAAGUUCUACUGGGGUAUUAGGGUCCUGCAAGCUGUCCAAGGAUGCCAACUGCUAACAAUGGCCCUGAGAACAUACAGAGUAAGGAUGGGGAACUUGUGGCUCUCCAGUUGUUGUUGGACUGCAACUCCCACCAACCCCAGGAAGUAUAGCCAAUAGUGAAGGCUGAUGGGAGUUGUAGUCCAUCAACAUCUGGAGGGCCAGAGGUUUCCCACCCUGCUAUAGAGGUUUCACUGCCAAUGGGCAGGGAAAUUUCUCAUCAGACAGUAAGCAUUCUGUGAACAAGAAAGUUUGAACACCACAAUCCUAGGACAAAAAAAUAUUUAAAUUAUAUAAGAUAAAAGAGAAUAAAUGAACAGCUUGAAUAUCCUUUGAAAUAUCAUGGAAAUGAUUAACACACACAUUAGUAUUAAAGUAUUGCAUUUGUAAGUCAACAAGCAGAGGUGAGUUAAUGGGUGGUUGAACAUCCAUCCAUUGGGUGGAAGAUACAUAAAGGGAUCUUCUUAGCCAUCUGUUUCUUUAUUCAUGGUAGGAACCAGUCCCAACUGUCCUGUCUCUAUAUGCCCCCAAUUAUGUCAUGGGUAUCAUGUCUCCUCCUCCUCCACUCUGUUUUGCUAUUGGGGCAAAUACCUAAUCCAAUCUGGAUUGCUCUAAGCGAAUACUGCUUGUGCUAUUGCCAACACAUUUUACAUGAAAUGCAUCAGAUAGAACUGAUUUGGCAAGAUCCAUCUAAUCAUAUUUGACAUGCUAGUCUAAUGCGUUUUAUUUAUUUAUUUAUUGCAUUGAUAUCCCAGCUUUCCUCCAAGAGCUCAAGGUAGCAUACAUAGUUCUCCCCCUUCCAAUUUUAUCCUCACAACAACCCUGUCAGGAAGGUUAGGCUGAGAGAUGGUGACUCUCCCAAGGUCACCCAGUGAGCUUCAAGGCUGAGUGGGGAUUCGAAUCCUGGUCUCUCAGGCCAUAGUCCGACCACUACACCACACUGGCUCUCACAGUGCAUGCAUUUUCAGAGAUGUUCAAAACCAAUUUGCAGGAUGUGACUUCCUGAGUUGUAGGGUUUUUGACCUCUAGUGAAACAACACUCCACCCUCAAAGCAUCUCUAGGUCAAAAGUGGGGUUAACAUACAACACUUCCUCUUUUCUCCUUCUCCUUCUCUCACUUGGGAUUUGUAGUGGGCCUAUCCAGUGGCACUGUCAGGGCAGAACAGAUGCAAAUGAAGUAAUACACAUUGCUAACUAAAUAGGGCCCCCAGUAACACCACUAAGUCUAGAGUCUAACUGGACUUGUUGGCAUGAGAGCUUCUCAUGCUGGCUGGUAUACAGCUUUCAGCCCUGGGAGUGACAUAGGUCACAACCACACCAUCUAUUUAAAGCAGUCCUAUAUAGGGUUGCCAGGUUCCUGGCCCGAGACUGAUCCUGUAUCUUUGGGAGAAGAGAAAGUCAGCCGAUGUUGCGCUGCAGCCAACUGAGAAGGGACAGGAAGGGGGGAGGCAUGAGUUUCAGGCACCUCCACAGCCAGAAGAAGCAGAGUUGGGGAUUGUUGUGUCUGAGCAGGAUCGUGCGGGAGGGGGGCAGCCUGCUCUCCAACCAGUUCCCACGAGUAACGCCCUUUCCGAGGAGCCGAGCGCACCGCCCCCAGUUGAUGCAGAGGACUUGUGGGGGGAGGCUUCAGAGACAGUGCCAGCUCCUCCUUUACCAAGCUGUUCCCAGGAGGAUUCCAGUGUGGCACCGCCCCCUGACCUCGAGCCCGUUGCUCGGGAGCAGGUGUCUUCAGAUGAGCCGUUGGAUGCGCGUCCCCUGUCUCCUCGUUCCCAUCACCGCGAGAAACUGACAGGGCAAAGACAGGAAUUACGAAGGAGUCAGAGAUUACAUUCGAAAACAUUUCCUAUAUAAGCCUGCCUCUCCCAGUGUGGGGUCGUUGAGUCAACUUCCUUCACACGCUGCAGAGCAUGUCUAGAGUAUAGUUAGGGACUCUAAUGAGUUAGCGUAGGGUUUCCUAUGAAGCGCAAUGCCUUUGAUGUAUCCAUUACUCUAAUAAAACGAGAUUUACUUGCACACACACUCCAGCCUCAUUCUUUCGGCUCUGGAUGGGACAGCCAAGUGUAAGUGUUCUUGCAACCCUGUAAUGAGAAAAACGACAAGGUGGAAUUCUCCCUUCUCAAUGCACAACUUUUAAAGAUACAGAAGACCUCUUGGAGGCCGGACCUGGCAACCCUUGUCCUAUACCACUUUAACAAUAAUUGAUUCACACAGAAUGGAUUCCAUUCUAUGGCUUCCUCCAUAGAA